AAUUUCCCCCUAAAAUACCAACAAGACUCCUGCUUGAAACUACUUGUACAUUAGGGACAGAGAAGAGUUCAUGAGAAUCAGCAUUUUCUGAGGACUCCAGCUGUCUUCCGAGAGAGAGUUCUCCUGCUGGUGCCUCCUCUGUAGUAAAGCAAAGUCUCCUGGAACCACAUUAUCAUUCUCUUCACUCAAGAGAUGAGGAUGCUGAAAUUCAGAGAGG
This 217-nucleotide long non-coding RNA is filed under the name Rhinopithecus roxellana (golden snub-nosed monkey). RNAcentral describes it as "lncRNA (ENSRROG00000045955.1)". Lineage: Eukaryota; Metazoa; Chordata; Mammalia; Primates; Cercopithecidae. The record is from RNAcentral.